Molecule: ribosomal RNA, 521 nt
Filed under: uncultured Pleosporales
Lineage: Eukaryota; Fungi; Ascomycota; Dothideomycetes; Pleosporales
Description: eukaryotic LSU rRNA
Rfam family: 5.8S ribosomal RNA (bases 156-309)
Source: RNAcentral
GGAGGAUCAUUAUCGUAGGGCUUCGGCCCUGUCGAGAUAGAACCCUUGCCUUUUUGAGUACCUUUCGUUUCCUCGGCAGGCUCGCCUGCCAAUGGGGACCACAAAAAACACUUUGCAGUACCUGUAACAGUCUGAACAAACAAACAAAAAAUUAAAACUUUCAACAACGGAUCUCUUGGUUCUGGCAUCGAUGAAGAACGCAGCGAAAUGCGAUAAGUAGUGUGAAUUGCAGAAUUCAGUGAAUCAUCGAAUCUUUGAACGCACAUUGCGCCCUUUGGUAUUCCUUAGGGCAUGCCUGUUCGAGCGUCAUUUAAACCUUCAAGCUAAGCUUGGUGUUGGGUGACUGUCCGCUUCACGGCGGACUCGCCUCAAAAUUAUUGGCGGCCGGUACAUUGGCUUCGAGCGCAGCAGAAACGCGAACUCGGGCCCGUCGUAUUGGCUCCCAGAAGCUAUCUUCACAAUUUUGACCUCGGAUCAGGUAGGGAUACCCGCUGAACUUAAGCAUAUCAAUAAGCGGAGGA